This 458-nucleotide ribosomal RNA is filed under the name uncultured bacterium. RNAcentral's name for it is "partial 16S ribosomal RNA". It matches the Rfam family "Bacterial small subunit ribosomal RNA", at positions 29 to 523 of the family's 1533-position model. The record is from RNAcentral.
AACGAACGCUGGCGGCAGGCCUAACACAUGCAAGUCGAACGUGAAGCCACCUUCGGGUGGUGGAAAGUGGCAGACGGGUGAGUAACGCGUGGGAACGUGCCUUUCGGUUCGGGAUAACCCAGGGAAACUUGGGCUAAUACCGGAUACGCCCUCCGGGGGAAAGAUUCAUUACCGAAACAUCGGCCCGCGUCGGAUUAGCAAGUGGGUGGGGUAAAAGCCUACCAAGGCGACGAACCGUAACUGGUCCGAGAGGAUGACCAGCAACACUGGGACUGAGACACUGCCCAGACUCCUACGGGAGGCAGCAGUGGGGAAUAUUGGACAAUGGGCGCAAGCCUGAUCCAGCCAUGCCGCGUGGGUGAAGAAGGCCCUAGGGUUGUAAACCCCUUUCAGCGGGGAGAUAAUGACGGUACCCGCAGAAGAAGCCCCGGCUAACUCCGUGCCAGCCGCCGCCGUAA